Brienomyrus brachyistius is the source of this 335-nucleotide long non-coding RNA. RefSeq lists it as uncharacterized. The transcript is spliced from 4 exons. Lineage: Eukaryota; Metazoa; Chordata; Actinopteri; Osteoglossiformes; Mormyridae. The record is from RefSeq and is a predicted model, not a curated record.
GAAUACGGUAAUAUGGCCUUAGAAACACGAAGAUGGCUACCUCAUUGAUUUGCAAAGGGACGGUAACCAGGGUGAGUUCAGUUAUGAACAGGGACGUCAAACUAUUUGGAAAGCAUCAUAUGUUUGACUGCAAUGAAGAGACGUGUUGGAAUUCUGACCAGGGAGACCUUCAGUGGGUGCUUCUGGACUUUCCAGGGCCAGUCAAAAUAUCCACAGUGAAUGUGCAGUUUCAGGGUGGGUUUGCAGGGAAAACAUGUCGAUUGGAAGGUAGUCUAAAAGAUGAAGCAUUUGCAAACCUUACGGUUUUUUACCCUGAGGACAACAACAACGUCCAG